Molecule: RNase P RNA, 382 nt
Filed under: Deltaproteobacteria bacterium
Lineage: Bacteria; Pseudomonadati; Myxococcota; Myxococcia
Description: RNase P RNA component class A
Rfam family: Bacterial RNase P class A
About the family: Ribonuclease P (RNase P) is a ubiquitous endoribonuclease, found in archaea, bacteria and eukarya as well as chloroplasts and mitochondria. Its best characterised activity is the generation of mature 5'-ends of tRNAs by cleaving the 5'-leader elements of precursor-tRNAs. Cellular RNase Ps are ribonucleoproteins.
Source: RNAcentral
GGAAGCAGGCUGAAUGAUCGCUGGCGCAGGCAAAAGCUAAGCGCGAGAGGAAAGUCCGAGCUCCACAGGGCAGGAUGCUGGUUAACUGCCAGCGAGGGUGACCUCGGGAAAGUGCCACAGAAAAUACACCGCCACGGUUCGGCCGUGGCAAGGGUGAAAAGGUGAGGUAAGAGCUCACCAGGUCCGGUGGUGACGCCGGAGGCUUGGUAAACCCCAUCCGGAGCAAGACCAAAUAGAGGGGUGUUUGAGGGUGGCCCGCCCGAAAUCCCAGGGUAGGUUGCUUGAGAGGCCGGGGAACCGGUCUCCUAGAUUAAUGAUCAUUACCCCGCUUCCGGGCGACCGGAGCGGGGAACAGAACUCGGCUUACAGGCCCCUUCCUGAG